Molecule: ribosomal RNA, 238 nt
Filed under: uncultured bacterium
Lineage: Bacteria
Description: partial 16S ribosomal RNA
Rfam family: Bacterial small subunit ribosomal RNA
Source: RNAcentral
GAUCCUGGCUCAGGAUGAACGCCGGCGGUGUGCCUAAUACAUGCAAGUCGAACGCGUUGGCCCGAUUGAUUGAUGGUGCUUGCACCUGAUUGAUUUUGGUCACCAACGAGUGGCGGACGGGUGAGUAACACGUAGGUAACCUGCCCAGAAGCGGGGGACAACAUUUGGAAACAGAUGCUAAUACCGCAUAACAACGUUGUUCGCAUGAACAACGCUUAAAAGAUGGCUUCUCGCUAUC